UAUUAAAAAAUUUCAUCCAUUUUUACCAUUAAAAACUAGUUUGGCUAACAGAAUAACCAAAGUUACACAUGACAUAUCACGUGUAUCUCAUUCUAACAUACAAAGACCAGUUUUUAACAGUAAAAAUGAAUAGAAUUUUUAAUA
Molecule: non-coding RNA, 144 nt
Organism: Gossypium raimondii (Peruvian cotton)
Lineage: Eukaryota; Viridiplantae; Streptophyta; Magnoliopsida; Malvales; Malvaceae
Source: Rfam